Long non-coding RNA from Lepidothrix coronata (blue-crowned manakin), 1133 nucleotides. RefSeq lists it as uncharacterized. The transcript has 2 exons. The record is from RefSeq and is a predicted model, not a curated record. Lineage: Eukaryota; Metazoa; Chordata; Aves; Passeriformes; Pipridae.
CCAGGGCUGCAGCACCCACAACUUCUUUGGGCAACCUGUGCCUCACUACCCUCACAGUCAGUAUUAUGCUUACCAACUGCAAACAUGGAUGGCAUGGCUAGUUAAUCUUCUUGCCUGGGAGCAGAAGAGGUUAACCUGGGGAGUUUAGAGGUAGCAGUGUGUGUGAAGCCUUAGUUACAUGGCUUGACUCCCUAAUCCAUUGCUGUUAAAAUUUUUCUGGUUAGUUUGUUUGCUUUUCAGCAGAAAUUUAUCAGUUUAUUUACACAGGUAUGUUAAAAUAUUAUUUUGUUUAAUUUAAAACAAACAAACCCAAAAAUACUUCCCCUCGCAAAAAAAAAAAAAAAAAAAAAAAAAAAAAAAGAAAAAAAGGAACUUCCAAACCCUAAAACUAAAAAUCCCUGGGUUUUUUCAGUUGCUUGUUAUGAAAAAGAUUCCCAACAGCACAGCUUCAAGCAGUAGGAAAGUCAUAUUGCCAAUCAACAAGCAAUGCAUGUAAUCAUUAUGGAGCCAUCUACCAGCAUCUCUUUCCUAAAAAGCCCUGUCAAAUUUAGCAUUCUUACAAGAGCCUUGGAACACCAGUGCUUGUCUUGUGUUCUGCUGACCUUUCUUCAAUCCAAAAAUAGCUGUUCUUACCCCACUGAACUUUCUACAAACAGAAAGACAUUUGAUGCCAGUUACAUUUGAAGAAAAUAAACUAUAUUUAAAGCUAUUAGUCAGUAUCACAGAUAGUUCCUGUUGUCCCCCAUACCCCUGGGAUUGUUUGCCCUUUUUAAAUGGAAUAGGUUUGGAUAGAGUAUGUUUCUCUGGCAUGGUUGUUCUGAAGGGGCCUCCCACAGAUGCUAUUUAACAUAUCCUCUGUUAAUUCAAGGGGAGGUCAGUGUAUUUUAUCUGUUCAUCUAGAUGGAGCUGUCAAAGUGGAUUUGGAGCUGGAUUUGAAGAUUGGUUUAAAUUUGUAAAUUUAAAAGUGGAGAAGUAUGCCCACAGGUUUCCAAUAAAAAAAAAGGAGACGUCACUUUUGGUACAUCCUCUGGUCUAAAAGACUCUUGGCAUCAACGAAAUAAAGCUGAAUGGUACAUAGUGUCCCAGCACAGGAUGAAGCUGUGAUAAUUAACUUUUAAAGCUUUAAAACUUCA